UACAGAGACUGCAAGCGUUAUUCGGAUUCACUGGGCGUAAAGGGUGCGCAGGCGGCCGGGUGUGUCAGAUGUGAAAUCCCGGGGCUUAACCUCGGAACUGCUUCCAAAACUGCUAGUCUAGAGUAUAGUAGGGGGUGAUGGAAUUUCUAGUGUAGAGGUGAAAUUCUUAGAUAUUAGAAGGAACACCGAUGGCGAAGGCAUUCACCUGGGCUAUAACUGACGCUGAUGCGCGAAAGCGUGGGGAGCAAACAGG
This 253-nucleotide ribosomal RNA is filed under the name uncultured bacterium. RNAcentral's name for it is "partial 16S ribosomal RNA". It matches the Rfam family "Bacterial small subunit ribosomal RNA", at positions 524 to 776 of the family's 1533-position model. The record is from RNAcentral.